CCCUGCCGCUUCGCACCCGCGGCCAGGCUGCCCGGCAAGCCGCCCUUCGUGGGAGAUGGAUGCUUUGAUGCAAGGAUGUUUAAACUGGUUAUGAAGCUUGGUUAUGUAAGAAGCGCCGUCUUUAGCAAGUCCAGAGACAAUACAAGGUUGUGGGACGGGUGGAGAAAGUGGAGAUCACGUUUUUACCUCUGUCGUAAUACUGGAACUUGGUGCACCCAUGCAUCGAAUACUAGAGUUGGAAGGGGCCAUAACGGCAAUUGAUCCCAGCCCCUGCUGUCACAUGACACCACAGUUACUCCAUGUCAGGACGCUGAGGUAAAUUACCCAGCCGUGCCAGUGUGUUGUUUUUCAGUACCUUUAAAGAACUGCCACUACUGACGUCUCCUCAGAUUCCCUGCUGCUGGUACAGAGAGGCGUCUUGGCUCAGAUCCUGGAGGCAGCUUAGAGAGCCAUCACAACUAAGAACUAGAGGGUGCUUCCUCCAUGAACAUGCCCAGUUCCAUUAAAGCCUUAUAAACACCCUCAUCACUAUA
Long non-coding RNA from Varanus komodoensis (Komodo dragon), 533 nucleotides. RefSeq lists it as uncharacterized. Lineage: Eukaryota; Metazoa; Chordata; Lepidosauria; Squamata; Varanidae. The transcript has 2 exons. The record is from RefSeq and is a predicted model, not a curated record.